Molecule: ribosomal RNA, 427 nt
Filed under: uncultured bacterium
Lineage: Bacteria
Description: partial 16S ribosomal RNA
Rfam family: Bacterial small subunit ribosomal RNA
Source: RNAcentral
UGGGGAAUAUUGCACAAUGGGCGCAAGCCUGAUGCAGCCAUGCCGCGUGUAUGAAGAAGGCCUUCGGGUUGUAAAGUACUUUCAGCGAGGAGGAAGGCGGUAAGGUUAAUAACAUUAUUGAUUGACGUUACUCGCAGAAGAAGCACCGGCUAACUCCGUGCCAGCAGCCGCGGUAAUACGGAGGGUGCAAGCGUUAAUCGGAAUUACUUGGCGUAAAGCGCACGCAGGCGGUCUGUCAAGUCGGAUGUGAAGUCCCCGGGCUCAACCUGGGAACUGCAUUCGAAACUGGCAUGCUAGGGUCUUGUAGAGGGGGGUAGAAUUCCAGGUGUAGCGGUGAAAUGCGUAGAGAUCUGGAGGAAUACCGGUGGCGAAGGCGGCCCCCUGGACAAAGACUGACGCUCAGGUGCGAAAGCGUGGGGAGCAAACA